GACGAACGCUGGCGGCGUGCCUAACACAUGCAAGUCGAGCGGAGAUGUGGAGUAGUUUACUACAAAGCAUCUUAGCGGCGGACGGGUGAGUAACGCGUGGGCAACCUGCCUUACAGAGGGGGAUAACAGUGCGAAAGCACUGCUAAUACCGCAUGAUAUUGUACUGCCACAUGGCAGAACAAUCAAAGGAGAAAUCCGCUGUAAGAUGGGCCCGCGUCUGAUUAGCUAGUUGGUGAGGUAAAAGCUCACCAAGGCGACGAUCAGUAGCCGAUCUGAGAGGAUGAACGGCCACACUGGAACUGAGACACGGUCCAGACUCCUACGGGAGGCAGCAGUGGGGAAUAUUGCACAAUGGGCGAAAGCCUGAUGCAGCAACGCCGCGUGGAGGAUGAAGGUUUUCGGAUUGUAAACUCCUUUGAUCGGGGAUGAAAAAAAUGACAGUACCCGAAAAACAAGCCACGGCUAACUACGUGCCAGCAGCCGCGGUAAAAC
Molecule: ribosomal RNA, 492 nt
Filed under: uncultured bacterium
Lineage: Bacteria
Description: bacterial SSU rRNA
Rfam family: Bacterial small subunit ribosomal RNA
Source: RNAcentral